Molecule: ribosomal RNA, 506 nt
Filed under: uncultured bacterium
Lineage: Bacteria
Description: bacterial SSU rRNA
Rfam family: Bacterial small subunit ribosomal RNA
Source: RNAcentral
GAGUUUGAUCCUGGCUCAGGACGAACGCUGGCGGCGCGCCUAACACAUGCAAGUCGAACGAGCGAGAGAGAGCUUGCUUUCUCGAGCGAGUGGCGAACGGGUGAGUAACGCGUGAGGAACCUGCCUCAAAGAGGGGGACAACAGUUGGAAACGACUGCUAAUACCGCAUAAGCCCACGGGUCGGCAUCGACCAGAGGGAAAAGGAGCAAUCCGCUUUGAGAUGGCCUCGCGUCCGAUUAGCUAGUUGGUGAGGUAACGGCCCACCAAGGCAACGAUCGGUAGCCGGACUGAGAGGUUGAACGGCCACAUUGGGACUGAGACACGGCCCAGACUCCUACGGGAGGCAGCAGUGGGGAAUAUUGCACAAUGGGGGAAACCCUGAUGCAGCGACGCCGCGCGAGUGAGGAAGUAUUUCGGUAUGUAAAGCUCUAUCAGCAGGGAAGAAGAAAUGACGGUACCUGACUAAGAAGCCCCGGCUAACUACGUGCCAGCCGCCGCGGUAAUAC